GAAUAUUGGACAAUGGGGGAAACCCUGAUCCAGCAAUACCGCGUGAGUGAUGAAGGCCCUAGGGUUGUAAAGCUCUUUCAGUAGGGAAGAUAAUGACGGUACCUACAGAAGAAGCACCGGCUAACUCCGUGCCAGCAGCCGCGGUAAUACGGAGGGUGCUAGCGUUGUUCGGAAUUACUGGGCGUAAAGCGUACGUAGGCGGUUUACCAAGUUGGGAGUGAAAUCCCGGGGCUCAACCUCGGAAUUGCUCUCAAAACUGGUAAACUAGAGUAUGGUAGGGGAUAGUGGAAUUCUUAGUGUAGGGGUGAAAUCCGUAGAUAUUAAGAGGAACACCAGAGGCGAAGGCGACUAUCUGGGCCAUUACUGACGCUAAGGUACGAAAGCGUGGGGAGCGAACGGG
RNAcentral lists this ribosomal RNA (400 nucleotides) under uncultured bacterium. RNAcentral describes it as "bacterial SSU rRNA". It matches the Rfam family "Bacterial small subunit ribosomal RNA", at positions 359 to 776 of the family's 1533-position model. The record is from RNAcentral.